UUAUGCCAAUGUCAAAUUGGCGAUCUGGAAUGAUUUCUCCGUGACGCCAUCAGACCAGCUUAAAUACGGGACUAAUCGCGUCCCAUAUUGAUUCAAUACGGGACGCAUCCCGUAUUUUACAGGACGGGUGGAAACCCUACUUUAAACCCAACCUUGCCAGGACAGUAGCCUACAUGACAGAUAAUAUUUUAUGUAAAAGGGCUGUAGCCUAUUAUGUGUAGAAAUAAUAUUGAAUUCGUUUGACAUUUCGUUGCCAGCUUUUUUUUUUUUAACAAGACUUUGUACAUUUAAAAACCAAGUUAUACACAUUGUCCAGUACACCAUAAUCAAAUAAUCCAUUUGAAUUAAGGUAAUUUAUAAAAUCAUAGGGGCUGAUUGCAUUUAUGAAGUACGCGACCAAGUUUCUUCGGACUUAGGCCGUUCUACGUCGUAAACCAAACGCGCCAAACAUGUCUUCAGCGGUACAUGAGAACGUUGAGAAUUUGUAUUCUGGAGACGUCAGAAGACCUGCAAACCAAUGCUGCCUGUGUCAUGCCCUCCAGACUCCUGCCCAAGAGCGCAUGUGAAGCCCUAAAUCAAGUCCACCCAGAUGUUUGUAAAAGGUAUUUUGGUUGUGGUCUGGUGGUACCUGAGAAGUUGGAAGGUUGUAAGAGAGACUGUGUCAGCAAACUGAUGGGGGAGAGUGGUCAUGACAUUGGAUUGGAUACGACGGACGAGAUGGCACUUCAUCAUAGUUCCAACAUUUUAACCAAGCUUAAUAGUAAACAUUUCAGUAUUUGCACGACAGAGCAUGUCAAAUAUAGUUGAAAAACCUGGCAUAUUAGCCUAAAUAAACAUUGUUUUGCAAAUAAAUAUUUAUCUAACUAGUAGGCUAUAUGUGAAAUAUACGCUAAUAAGAUGUCAUAUUUAGCAUUAAAACAUUAACAACAGUUACCUGUCGCCCAGUGCUAUGUUGAAACUACAUCAUAUGUCAAUGUGUGCUCCAUAAUUAGAUAGUUGCCUCACAAAAAUUUGUCCUGUACCAUCAGGAGAAUUUUGGAUAUUUAAAAACAAACACUGUGUUUGUGAAAGGAUACAUGGAGCAGCUCAGUGAUGCAGGGAUACAGAACAACUCAUUGGAUGUAAUUGUGUCAAAUUGUGUAAUAUGUCUGUGCCCAGAUAAGAGAACUGUGAUAAGCAAAGCUUACAAAGUUUUAAAGGAGGGUGGGGAGUUGUACUAUAGCGACAUGUAUGCAAGCAAAGUAGUUCCAUACUCUUUCAAGGAAGAUCCAGUUCUUUGGGGUAAACAUUGAUAUAUUAAUAUUUACAAAUAGCCAGACUUUUUUUCAUUCUAAGAUGACUUCAUUUGUUACAUUUUAGAAUUUUAGAACCACACUGCAUUCAUUUAUGGGGUUGAUUAGCCUGAUUUACUGGAAAAAAUAGCGACAUUUUUCAUCAAUGUAUUUUCAUUUAUUUCAUCAAUAUAAUGCAUUGCAUCACAUUGUGCUCUCACAGUAAAAACUGGUCAUGGUAUGCAAACUAGAAUGUUGUCAUUGAUUCAAGUUAUGAAAAAAUAUGAAAUGUGUCACGUCCAUGCAAGUGUGCAUUAGAUUUAUCCAGUGUUUUAUAAAGUAUCCAUUCGUCAUACUUAAGUAAAAGUAAAGAUACCUUCAUGGAAACUGACUCAAGAAAAAGUAUUAAAGUAACUGAUUUUAAAUUUAUUUUGUUAUCAAAAGUACAUAAAUUAAUUAAACUCGUGGGAACUUAUAUGAUUGGUGUGGCCAUGCUGGAGAUUAUGAGUUAGCUCAAGUACUGUUUGACCAAUCAGUCAGCAAGUAAAUGCAGUCAUCUUUUGCAAAAUAACAAAGUAAACAACAUGAAUUAAAGGGAUAGUUCACCCAAAAAUGAAAAUUCUCAUCAUAUACUCAC
This is an RNA transcript of Myxocyprinus asiaticus (Chinese sucker), 1908 nucleotides long. It is a transcript of the gene named arsenite methyltransferase-like, with no coding region annotated. Lineage: Eukaryota; Metazoa; Chordata; Actinopteri; Cypriniformes; Catostomidae. The transcript has 5 exons. The record is from RefSeq and is a predicted model, not a curated record.